GACGAACGCUGGCGGCGUGCUUAACACAUGCAAGUCGAACGGAAAGGCCCCUUUGGGGGUACUCGAGUGGCGAACGGGUGAGUAACACGUGAGUAACCUGCCCUUGACUUCGGGAUAACUUCAGGAAACUGGGGCUAAUACCGGAUAGGAAUCCUUGCUGCAUGGUGGGGGUUGGAAAGCUUCGGCGGUUUUGGAUGGAUUCGCGGCUUAUCAGCUUGUUGGUGGGGUAGUGGCUUACCAAGGCUUUGACGGGUAGCCGGCCUGAGAGGGCGACCGGCCACAUUGGGACUGAGAUACGGCCCAGACUCCUACGGGAGGCAGCAGUGGGGAAUAUUGCACAAUGGGCGGAAGCCUGAUGCAGCAACGCCGCGUGCGGGAUGACGGCCUUCGGGUUGUAAACCGCUUUCAGCAGGGGCGAAGCUUGUGGUGACGGUACCUGCAGAAGAAGCACCGGCUAACUACGUG
Molecule: ribosomal RNA, 465 nt
Filed under: uncultured bacterium
Lineage: Bacteria
Description: partial 16S ribosomal RNA
Rfam family: Bacterial small subunit ribosomal RNA
Source: RNAcentral